GCCCAGACUCCUACGGGAGGCAGCAGUGAGGAAUAUUGGUCAAUGGCCGAGAGGCUGAACCAGCCAAGCCGCGUGAGGGAUGAAGGUACAGAGUAUCGUAAACCUCUUUUGUCAGGGAACAAAGGCGGGGACGUGUCCCCGGAUGAGUGUACCUGAAGAAAAAGCAUCGGCUAACUCCGUGCCAGCAGCCGCGGUAAUACGGAGGAUGCGAGCGUUAUCCGGAUUUAUUGGGUUUAAAGGGUGCGUAGGCGGUCCGUUAAGUCGGGGGUAAAAUUGAGGGGCUCAACCUCUGCGAGCCGUUGAAACUGGUUUUCUUGAGUGAGCGAGAAGUAUGCGGAAUGCGUGGUGUAGCGGUGAAAUGCAUAGAUAUCACGCAGAACUCCGAUUGCGAAGGCAGCAUACCGGCGCUCAACUGACGCUCAUGCACGAAAGUGUGGGUAUCGAACAGGAUUAGAUACCCUAGUAU
RNAcentral lists this ribosomal RNA (466 nucleotides) under uncultured bacterium. RNAcentral describes it as "bacterial SSU rRNA". It matches the Rfam family "Bacterial small subunit ribosomal RNA", at positions 329 to 793 of the family's 1533-position model. The record is from RNAcentral.